CCUACGGGGGGCAGCAGUGAGGAAUAUUGGUCAAUGGACGAGAGUCUGAACCAGCCAAGUAGCGUGAAGGAUGACUGCCCUAUGGGUUGUAAACUUCUUUUAUAUGGGAAUAAAAUGCUCCACGUGUGGGAUUUUGUAUGUACCAUAUGAAUAAGGAUCGGCUAACUCCGUGCCAGCAGCCGCGGUAAUACGGAGGAUCCGAGCGUUAUCCGGAUUUAUUGGGUUUAAAGGGAGCGUAGGUGGAUUGUUAAGUCAGUUGUGAAAGUUUGCGGCUCAACCGUAAAAUUGCAGUUGAAACUGGCAGUCUUGAGUACAGUAGAGGUGGGCGGAAUUCGUGGUGUAGCGGUGAAAUGCUUAGAUAUCACGAAGAACUCCGAUUGCGAAGGCAGUUCACUGGACUGCAACUGACACUGAGGCUCGAAAGUGUGGGUAUCAAACAGGAUUAGAUACCCGAGUAGUC
This 460-nucleotide ribosomal RNA is filed under the name uncultured bacterium. RNAcentral describes it as "partial 16S ribosomal RNA". It matches the Rfam family "Bacterial small subunit ribosomal RNA", at positions 338 to 795 of the family's 1533-position model. The record is from RNAcentral.